UUCAAUGACCAUACCACGUUGAAAGCACCGGUUCUCGUCCGAUCACCGCAGUUAAGCAACGUUGGGCCCGGUCAGUACUUAUUCAAUGAAACAGGUAUUAUUUUAC
RNAcentral lists this ribosomal RNA (106 nucleotides) under Schistosoma margrebowiei. Lineage: Eukaryota; Metazoa; Platyhelminthes; Trematoda; Strigeidida; Schistosomatidae. The record is from RNAcentral.